RNAcentral lists this ribosomal RNA (454 nucleotides) under Actinomycetales bacterium TLI269. RNAcentral's name for it is "bacterial SSU rRNA". It matches the Rfam family "Bacterial small subunit ribosomal RNA", at positions 130 to 598 of the family's 1533-position model. The record is from RNAcentral. Lineage: Bacteria; Bacillati; Actinomycetota; Actinomycetes; Actinomycetales.
CCUGCACUCUGGGACAAGCCCUGGAAACGGGGUCUAAUACCGGAUACGAGCCUCCCGGGCAUCUGGGAGGUUGGAAAGCUCCGGCGGUGCAGGAUGAGCCCGCGGCCUAUCAGCUUGUUGGUGAGGUAACGGCUCACCAAGGCGACGACGGGUAGCCGGCCUGAGAGGGCGACCGGCCACACUGGGACUGAGACACGGCCCAGACUCCUACGGGAGGCAGCAGUGGGGAAUAUUGCACAAUGGGCGAAAGCCUGAUGCAGCGACGCCGCGUGAGGGAUGACGGCCUUCGGGUUGUAAACCUCUUUCAGCAGGGAAGAAGCGAGAGUGACGGUACCUGCAGAAGAAGCGCCGGCUAACUACGUGCCAGCAGCCGCGGUAAUACGUAGGGCGCAAGCGUUGUCCGGAAUUAUUGGGCGUAAAGAGCUCGUAGGCGGCUUGUCGCGUCGAUUGUGAA